GGGCAAGUAGCUCAGCUGGUUAGAGUAUACGCCUGAUAAGCGUAUGGUCGGGGGUUCAAGUCCCUUUUUGCCCA
Molecule: transfer RNA, 74 nt
Filed under: Lobosphaera incisa
Lineage: Eukaryota; Viridiplantae; Chlorophyta; Trebouxiophyceae; Trebouxiales; Trebouxiaceae
Description: tRNA-Ile
Rfam family: tRNA
About the family: Transfer RNA (tRNA) molecules are approximately 80 nucleotides in length. Their secondary structure includes four short double-helical elements and three loops (D, anti-codon, and T loops). Further hydrogen bonds mediate the characteristic L-shaped molecular structure. tRNAs have two regions of fundamental functional importance: the anti-codon, which is responsible for specific mRNA codon recognition, and the 3' end, to which the tRNAs corresponding amino acid is attached (by aminoacyl-tRNA synthetases). tRNAs cope with the degeneracy of the genetic code in two manners: having more than one tRNA (with a specific anti-codon) for a particular amino acid; and 'wobble' base-pairing, i.e. permitting non-standard base-pairing at the 3rd anti-codon position.
Source: RNAcentral